Non-coding RNA from Pelobates cultripes (western spadefoot toad), 217 nucleotides. Lineage: Eukaryota; Metazoa; Chordata; Amphibia; Anura; Pelobatidae. The record is from the annotation of a GenBank genome assembly.
GUUUCGCAUCACAACCCUUUUUUAUAACCAAUGGGACUAGGCAGGGUUGCCCACUGUCACCACUCCUUUAUAUCAUAGCACUGGAGCCGCUGCUACAGACUAUUAGAGAUGAACCACAAAUCACGGGCAUAGUAAGAGGAGGAAGGGAAUACAAACUAACAGCAUUUGCUGAUGAUGUGAUGCUAUCACUGACUAACCCACAACUCUCCAUUCCAAC